GCGCCGCUAGCUCAGUUGGUUAGAGGCAGCUGACUCUUAAUCAGCGGGUCCGGGGUUCGAGUCCCUGGCGGCGCA
This 75-nucleotide transfer RNA is filed under the name Kitasatospora sp. Root107. Its description in RNAcentral is "tRNA-Lys". It matches the Rfam family "tRNA". Rfam says of the family: Transfer RNA (tRNA) molecules are approximately 80 nucleotides in length. Their secondary structure includes four short double-helical elements and three loops (D, anti-codon, and T loops). Further hydrogen bonds mediate the characteristic L-shaped molecular structure. tRNAs have two regions of fundamental functional importance: the anti-codon, which is responsible for specific mRNA codon recognition, and the 3' end, to which the tRNAs corresponding amino acid is attached (by aminoacyl-tRNA synthetases). tRNAs cope with the degeneracy of the genetic code in two manners: having more than one tRNA (with a specific anti-codon) for a particular amino acid; and 'wobble' base-pairing, i.e. permitting non-standard base-pairing at the 3rd anti-codon position. Lineage: Bacteria; Bacillati; Actinomycetota; Actinomycetes; Kitasatosporales; Streptomycetaceae. The record is from RNAcentral.